GCGCUCGCGAGCUGUAUGUGCAAAAUCCGCAAGGAAUUGCAGUAAAUUCCUUUUUGUUUGAAGAAAAUUUACAACUUGGUAAUAGACCUUUUUAUGACCUAUUUGCGGUCGUCAUUGGCUGCGGCUGGUCAUGUGCAGGCGCCGCUCGCCUUCACGGCCCUUUUCCUGAUUUCCCAGGCGAAUUUGCCCCCGCAUUCUGCUUUCCCAGAGCCUCACCCCCUCUUUUCCUAACCUUUGUCUCUGCAGAGGUGGGCUCCAGUUGCCGGCUGCGGAAUCGCGGGUCCGCAGCGGCCUGGGCUCCCGCCGUGACUUCACGUCAGCUCGCCCCAGGUCGCUAUCUCGGCCGCCUCCGAGCCAGCAGGGAGCCCGGAAGGAGCUCGAGGCGUCGAGCCCCCAGCCAGACUCACACUCCUACGGGGAGCUGACCGCCUGCUUCCCCGAGGCGACCCCGGCCGUGCGCUUCCCUCCCGGCCCCUCCAUCAACAUGAGCCCAAACCUGCCACGGAGAGUGGGAACAGCCGGGCAGCGCCGGAUGGAUUCCAGUCGCCUCCCGGGCCGCCCGCCCGAAGCUCGGCACCCUCCGGGUUAAGAGCAUACAAGUGCAGAUGCUCAGUUCCUGGAGCAGCGAUAGGAAAGUGAGAGGCUCCAGCCAGCACCGGGCUCAGGAGGAGACCAACGGCUCUACUCUCAGCCACCCUACCCACUAGAAAAGAAAAACAUUACACUUUGGGAUCUCAUUUUUUCCCUUGGAAGGAAAUGACCCUGCUCUGAACUGGGGAUGUGGAAAAGCGUUGUCCCAGCUGUGCUUGGUCCUUCUUAGAUGAGGAGGCAGGUUUGGAGGCUCGGAGGGGAAUUGGAAAUCAACCUGAAACGGGAAAAGGAGAACUGAAACUGUUGCCCUGAGGGAGCGGACAGGGAAUUGGGGUCCGGACAGAUAGGAUGUCUGCAGGCUCACCAGUGGACCUUCACCCACCCGCCUGCAGCAGAAGGAAAUGCACAAAGGCCUAUUUUUUCCUGACUUCCCAUUUCCCUACUAGAGAAAGCUUGCCUCGGGGGCCCGCCAGAGUCAGGCCUUAUAACCAGUAGGGUUUCCGCCCAAGGGUGCGUGAAAUGGGGGAGGUGGCCAGGACGGACUCUCGGACUCCUCAGCUCUGCCUUUGAGUAUGCGGGAGAACUUUGCACAGUUCCCGAAGGCGGUCUCCCCAAAGCAAGGAGCUCUAGGUAUUAGGGGAAAGUCGGGGCCUUGUUACUUUUCUGCACGCCAUCUAUUUCUGCUUUAUUACCCUGUGGAAUUUGAGUGACCCCGUUUUCACUGCAACAGGUUUCCGAGCGGCAGGGGAGAACCAGGGAGAACUUCAGUAAGUACCUUCCCUUUGGAGUAAAGAAAGGGCAGUGCUAAUGCUGGGAGGUGGUGGGGGAAGGUCCGCCAGAGCGGGGAUGGGAGGGUGACGGAGUGGCGCUGCCUCCCCAGGCUAGAACGGCCUGAGCUCAUUUGAGGGUGGGGGCGUGGAGGCUCCAGGUUGAGCCUUUAGGAAGCAUUUCUGGGGCCUAGUUCACAGUCACCCGCACAAGUAAACACAUUGCUGGAGCUGGCACUUGCCUUCCUGGACCUCCCAGGACCUUACAGGCCUUUUCCAAGCUUCCUAGGCUCACACAGGUGCAGCGGACAUGCAACUAAUUAGCAACCCAUCGCAUCAACGAACUACACUGCGGCAAGCACCCACUACUGCUAGAAUUGACACAGUAAACGCCAAGGCAACGGAGUUCCUCUCUGCAGUCCA
Acomys russatus (golden spiny mouse) is the source of this 1781-nucleotide long non-coding RNA. RefSeq lists it as uncharacterized. Lineage: Eukaryota; Metazoa; Chordata; Mammalia; Rodentia; Muridae. The transcript has 3 exons. The record is from RefSeq and is a predicted model, not a curated record.